RNAcentral lists this unclassified non-coding RNA (196 nucleotides) under uncultured Ascomycota. RNAcentral describes it as "sequence contains ITS2". The record is from RNAcentral. Lineage: Eukaryota; Fungi; Ascomycota.
AAUCUACAUGCCACGCUGGCCCCAAGCUUGGGCCAGAGCGGUGUUUUGGGCCCGUGUGUCGCGUGUGUUGGGCGCAUGCCCUCCCUCGCGUGGCCUUGAAGAAAUUGACAUCCGUCGUUGGGCGUGAGAUCCGUUAGGACCCCGUGAGCCCUGUGGAUGGAUGGGACGUGAGCCGCGGUGUGCAGCCGCGCUGAAC